This 488-nucleotide ribosomal RNA is filed under the name uncultured bacterium. Its description in RNAcentral is "partial 16S ribosomal RNA". It matches the Rfam family "Bacterial small subunit ribosomal RNA", at positions 28 to 507 of the family's 1533-position model. The record is from RNAcentral.
GACGAACGCUGGCGGCGUGCUUAACACAUGCAAGUCGAACGGUGAAGGGAUCAGCUUGCUGGUUCUGGAUGAGUGGCGAACGGGUGAGUAACACGUGAGUAACCUGCCCCCUUCUUCUGGAUAACCGCAUGAAAGUGUGGCUAAUACGGGAUAUUCUGCGCCUGCUGCAUGGUGGGUGUGGGAAAGAUAUUGUUUCGGUGGGGGAUGGGCUCGCGGCCUAUCAGCUUGUUGGUGGGGUGAUGGCCUACCAAGGCGGUGACGGGUAGCCGGCCUGAGAGGGGGGACGGUCACACUGGGACUGAGACACGGCCCAGACUCCUACGGGAGGCAGCAGUGGGGAAUAUUGCCCAAUGGGCGCAAGCCUGAUGCAGCGACGCGGCGUGAGGGAUGGAGGCCUUCGGGUUGUGACCCUCUUUCGCAAGUGAAGCAGGCCUGUCCCUUGGGGUGGGUUGACGGUAGCUGGAUAAGAAGCGCCGGCUAACUACGUG